CGUGAGUAACCUGCCUUGGAGUGGGGAAUAACAGUUGGAAACAGCUGCUAAUACCGCAUAAUAUGUCUGUGUCGCAUGGCACUGGACAUCAAAGAUUUAUCGCUCUGAGAUGGACUCGCGUCUGAUUAGCUGGUUGGCGGGGUAACGGCCCACCAAGGCGACGAUCAGUAGCCGGACUGAGAGGUUGGCCGGCCACAUUGGGACUGAGACACGGCCCAGACUCCUACGGGAGGCAGCAG
This 239-nucleotide ribosomal RNA is filed under the name uncultured bacterium. Its description in RNAcentral is "partial 16S ribosomal RNA". It matches the Rfam family "Bacterial small subunit ribosomal RNA", at positions 116 to 354 of the family's 1533-position model. The record is from RNAcentral.